UGAAUUACUAAAAUUAGUAUUAUUAAAGACUCAUUGAGGCUUUGUGGACUUGUCUUGGUGAGUGACUUUAAUAUAUGUGAUAUGGUUAUUACCCUGUUUGUCUUAUAUUAGUAUCCUUUGUGGAUAUGACCUGGUUUUAUGAAAGUGUUUUCUGUAAAAUGUGAUUUUUAUAAUUGGCCAUCGAUCUAUUUUUAUUAAAUGUGAUUUGAUUCAUGGACUGGAAAUAUAUGUGAAAAAGUGAAUUAUAGUGCCUAUUGAAAUGUUUGUUAAAUUGAGGGCUAGUAGGGGAACGUUACCCUAGUGUCACGAGGUUAGGUGACACUGAGUCUGCACCAUGUAAUAGUGGUACAUGGAUGGUCCUGCUUAGUUAAUUCGCGAUAUGGGACCAUACUAUUUAUGGAUUGCACUUGGUUAAUCCACGAUGGGUGAUCUUUAUGGCCAUGUAUACUUAGGAGUGAUCAUGCUUGGUUAAUGCACGAUGGGUGAUCACUGCCUAACAAUUUUGUAGGUGUGAAUCUGCUUGGUUAAUCCGCGAUGGGGGAUCACUACCUACUUGGUUAUCUUGACCUUGCUUGGUUAAUCUGCAAUGGGGGUCACUUGAGGUCCUGCUUGGUUAAUCCGCAAUAGGACCUUAUUAUUUAUGGAUCGUGCUUGGUUAAUCCGCGAUGGGCGAUCCUUAUGGCCAUACAUACUUAGGGGUGAUCAUGCUUGGUUAAUCCGCGAUUGGUGAUCACUGCCUAACAUAUUCGUAUGAGUGACCCUGCUUGGUUAAUCUGCGAUGGGAGGUCACUACCUACAUGGUUACUCAUGGGUGGCUCUGCUUGGUUAAUCCACUAUGGGGGGGCCACUUCCUAUUUGGUUACUUAUGUAGGCUUCGGUCAAACUGCGUCCCUCUAGCCCUAGAUUUUAGUGUAUUUAUGAACAAUAGUUUUUGAGAAUCUUUGGGGCUUGAGUUGGAAAAAUUGUUGGAUGUCUGGGUGACUCCUUUGGAGUUUUUAGAGACUUGACUAUGUUUUCAUAAUUAUGAACUUAUAUUUAAGGUUUAUAAACUGUGAUCAAUGGUCUUUCUUUUUAUUGAUUAUCACAUACUUGUAUUAUUGUCACUCACCCGAGCUUCGCAACUUAUCCAAGUUUUGGUUUACCAGUGCACCAUUCCCAUGAUUUUACAAAUGAUUUCGUUGAGUGGCUCGAAACCCGAUGCGGUCGGAUUUCGUUGAGUGUUCCGAAAUCCUUACUCUUGUACAUUUCCAAAAGGUUAGUCUAGAACCCUAGUUUCGAGUGAAUGAGAAUUAUCCACAAUAGACCUUGUGAAAAUAAAAUAGAUUUACCAUGUUGUUACUCAUAAUCCAAGUAGGAAAUUAUAUAGAGUUCUUUAAUUAAAUUCGUGAAAUGAUAUGUUAUCACAUUGGUUGAUUAACGUAGUUAAAUGUUAAGAUCAUGCAUCUUUGAUUCAUGAAUGGAUUAAUUGACAAGAUUGUGGAAUAACGUUGGAUAUGAUUGUUAUUAUUAUGAUUAUCUUAGUUGAUCAAUGUGGCUUGAGAAUAAUAUUGUGCUUCGAUGGUUAGUUGAUAUGAUACAUGUUGUGGUUGGAGGUAUCAUGUUGAAAACAUAGUGAUUUAUAUGAUGGAUGGAAUGGAAACCUUGAAUAUCAUGUGGGUUUGUUAUGUAGCCCUGAACCUAGUAAUUUCAUGCUUGUUAAGUUCUAAUAAUUGAUUAAGAAAUGCUUUGCUUUUUUUUUUUAAAACGUCUUGUGAUAAAUAUUGAAGUGUAAUGAAUGGUGAACUACGAAUGGCUUGAUCCCUAUUGAGGGUAUGCAGGCAGUCAAACGAGGAGGUUAGAUGCAGCCAUAAAGUGUACGAAAAAUUAUUACGUAGUUGGAUCGUGAGUUAUGCUUUGCUCAUAUAUCGGAGGCGGGGUAUGUUAGAUACACAUAUAAUUGAUAACGUCACGUGUCGAUCCUGGAUGUAUGUCGGGAUCAUGGUGUGACAACUUAAGACCGCAAGAGCUUAGAGGCCACGCCAGGCCCCAUAGCUUGUUCAUUUCUUCUUAGCCCAAACAGGCCUCUGGGCCUAGUUUAAAUGGAAUGGGGCUUCUCCCUUAAUCUUUCUCUUGCACGGGCCAAGCCAACGACCCACAGGCCCAAGGCCUUUCAUUCCCCUUUCUCUCCCAGCUUAUCGAGGCCAUCACAUACGCACUAAGUCAUAGCCCACGCCAUCAGCACCUCGGCACAAGCCUAGCCGCACCUGGCCCAGCCAACCGCUUCCACAUCAAGCUAACAGAAGUAGCCCCACUGGUAACAAUCAUGCCAUGGCUUUCCAGCCACCUCCUUGACCCCAGUCGAGCCAAAUUUCAAGCCCUGAGGCUCCAAAAAUUAAGAAGACAAGGAAAAUUAACUUUUUCUUACCUUGGUGCAAUGUGAAGACGAAGAAAGCAAUGAAAGAUGGUCAUUUGCAUGGGCAAGUGAAGAAGAUUGCUAGGGGCGGGGGAACAAAUAUCCCCUAGCUUUCUCUCUCUUGUAGAGUUGAAUAAAUUGCUCUCUGAAGUUGAUUUAAUCAUCUACUUAAGGUAGACUUAAAUAAACUUUGGAAGUGAUUUAUUUCCAUUUCCUAGAAUGAUCUAAUUUUCAAUUAAAGUGGGAAUCUACAUCA
This 2648-nucleotide long non-coding RNA is filed under the name Malus domestica (apple). RNAcentral's name for it is "long non-coding RNA (MDOM_LNC021055)". The record is from RNAcentral. Lineage: Eukaryota; Viridiplantae; Streptophyta; Magnoliopsida; Rosales; Rosaceae.